AACGCGAAGAACCUUACCUGGGUUUGACAUGCACAGGACGCUGGUAGAGAUAUCAGUUCCCUUGUGGUCUGUGUGCAGGUGGUGCAUGGCUGUCGUCAGCUCGUGUCGUGAGAUGUUGGGUUAAGUCCCGCAACGAGCGCAACCCUUGUCUCAUGUUGCCAGCGGGUAAUGCCGGGGACUCGUAGGAGACUGCCGGGGUCAACUCGGAGGAAGGUGGGGACGACGUCAAGUCAUCAUGCCCCUUACGUCCAGGGCUGCACACAUGCUACAAUGGCCGGUACAACGGGCUGCUAAUCCGCGAGGAGGAGCCAAUCCCCCAAAGCCGGUCUCAGUUCGGAUUGGAGUCUGCAACUCGACUCCAUGAAGUCGGAGUCGCUAGUAAUCCCGGAUCAGCAACGCCGGGGUGAAUACGUUCCCGGGCCUUGUACACACCGCGCAUA
This 440-nucleotide ribosomal RNA is filed under the name uncultured bacterium. Its description in RNAcentral is "bacterial SSU rRNA". It matches the Rfam family "Bacterial small subunit ribosomal RNA", at positions 958 to 1398 of the family's 1533-position model. The record is from RNAcentral.